CCCGUGCCUGCAACUCUCCCAUGGCCUCCCUAGGCCAUGGGAGGCUAGGCUUCUUCCAAUCACCAUGCAAGAUGGAAACUUUGAGUUUUCUGUUCCAGUCCAGAGAAGGGUGAAGUCUUCUGUCUCCACUGACCACGAAGGAGAGCUGUCUGGCAGGAUGCAGCAGGGAUCAGGGAUCAGGAGCCCCGCUGGUGUUUGAGACUGAGAUUGCUUCCUUAUCUUGCAGGAAGCCAUUGAGACCUGGGUGCCAUCUGGAGCAGUAGCUGCCUGUCAGUUCCUGCUGACCAAGGUCAACACUGAUUCCGGCUGCCACACUGGAGAAGAAAAGAGAUGUUUCUGCAUGCUGUGCCCAGGAGUGGCGUGGGCCUUUGUCUGGAGGAGAAAACAGUUGCCAUGGACUGAACAGCUUUCCUCCUUUGGCUUUCCCACCCUUGCUGCCUUAGAGCCAUCAGACCGUGGGCUGAACCCACUGGAAACUGUGAGCUAAAUAAACCUCUCCUCCUUGG
Long non-coding RNA from Cavia porcellus (domestic guinea pig), 506 nucleotides. RefSeq lists it as uncharacterized. The record is from RefSeq and is a predicted model, not a curated record. NCBI's taxonomy places the organism in Eukaryota, Metazoa, Chordata, Mammalia, Rodentia, Caviidae. The transcript has 3 exons.